GUCUGGCCUUUGUAACAAUGCAAAGGGAAACAAAAACCUCAAACAAGUCUGACAGGUGCUAUUGUUGCAGCCUUUACUGUCCCGUAGCAUAUGGUCACAUUAUGACAACUCCAAAUACCAUUGCUCAUAGCUGGAUAUUUUUCAUAUAAGGGAGCAAUACUGGGCUCAAGGUGACAGGACCACAAGGGUGAGGGGAAAGCACACCAACAGGACAUGGGGGUAGGGUCAGUGAAGCAUGGGCAUACCUUGCCAUUGCACUGUUGCAGGGAGGACCGCAAGGCAUACAGGAC
Molecule: non-coding RNA, 290 nt
Organism: Pelobates cultripes (western spadefoot toad)
Lineage: Eukaryota; Metazoa; Chordata; Amphibia; Anura; Pelobatidae
Source: the annotation of a GenBank genome assembly